This 480-nucleotide ribosomal RNA is filed under the name uncultured bacterium. RNAcentral describes it as "partial 16S ribosomal RNA". It matches the Rfam family "Bacterial small subunit ribosomal RNA", at positions 28 to 523 of the family's 1533-position model. The record is from RNAcentral.
GACGAACGCUGGCGGCGUGCUUAACACAUGCAAGUCGAACGAUGAAGUUCCUUCGGGAAUGGAUUAGUGGCGAACGGGUGAGGAACACGUGAGAAACCUGCCUUUCAUUUUGGGAUAACUCCGGGAAACCGGGGCUAAAACCGAAUACUCCGUCUCGGCGGCAUCGCUGAGCCGGGAAAAAAUUUUGAUGAAAGAUGGUCUCGCGGCCUAUCAGCUAGUUGGUGAGGUAAUGGCUCACCAAGGCAACGACGGGUAGCCGGCCUGGGAGGGCGGCCGGCCACACUGGGACUGAGACACGGCCCAGACUCCUACGGGAGGCAGCGGUGGGGAAUAUUGGGCAAUGGGCGCAAGCCUGACCCAGCGACGCCGCGUGAGGGAUGAAGGCCUUCGGGUUGUAAACCUCUUUCAGUAGGGAAGAAGCGAAAGUGACGGUACCUAAAGAAGAAGCACCGGCUAACUAUGUGCCAGCCGCCGCCGUAA